Molecule: ribosomal RNA, 893 nt
Filed under: Pediococcus pentosaceus
Lineage: Bacteria; Bacillati; Bacillota; Bacilli; Lactobacillales; Lactobacillaceae
Description: bacterial SSU rRNA
Rfam family: Bacterial small subunit ribosomal RNA
Source: RNAcentral
AUACAUGCAGUCGACGAACUUCCGUUAAUUGAUUAUGACGUACUUGUACUGAUUGAGAUUUUAACACGAAGUGAGUGGCGAACGGGUGAGUAACACGUGGGUAACCUGCCCAGAAGUAGGGGAUAACACCUGGAAACAGAUGCUAAUACCGUAUAACAGAGAAAACCGCAUGGUUUUCUUUUAAAAGAUGGCUCUGCUAUCACUUCUGGAUGGACCCGCGGCGUAUUAGCUAGUUGGUGAGGUAAAGGCUCACCAAGGCAGUGAUACGUAGCCGACCUGAGAGGGUAAUCGGCCACAUUGGGACUGAGACACGGCCCAGACUCCUACGGGAGGCAGCAGUAGGGAAUCUUCCACAAUGGACGCAAGUCUGAUGGAGCAACGCCGCGUGAGUGAAGAAGGGUUUCGGCUCGUAAAGCUCUGUUGUUAAAGAAGAACGUGGGUAAGAGUAACUGUUUACCCAGUGACGGUAUUUAACCAGAAAGCCACGGCUAACUACGUGCCAGCAGCCGCGGUAAUACGUAGGUGGCAAGCGUUAUCCGGAUUUAUUGGGCGUAAAGCGAGCGCAGGCGGUCUUUUAAGUCUAAUGUGAAAGCCUUCGGCUCAACCGAAGAAGUGCAUUGGAAACUGGGAGACUUGAGUGCAGAAGAGGACAGUGGAACUCCAUGUGUAGCGGUGAAAUGCGUAGAUAUAUGGAAGAACACCAGUGGCGAAGGCGGCUGUCUGGUCUGCAACUGACGCUGAGGCUCGAAAGCAUGGGUAGCGAACAGGAUUAGAUACCCUGGUAGUCCAUGCCGUAACGAUGAUUACUAAGUGUUGGAGGGUUUCCGCCCUUCAGUGCUGCAGCUAACGCAUUAAGUAAUCCGCUGGGGGAGUACGACCGCAAGGUGAAACUC